Molecule: small nuclear RNA, 154 nt
Filed under: Scophthalmus maximus (turbot)
Lineage: Eukaryota; Metazoa; Chordata; Actinopteri; Pleuronectiformes; Scophthalmidae
Description: U2 spliceosomal RNA (ENSSMAG00000020212.2)
Rfam family: U2 spliceosomal RNA
About the family: U2 is a small nuclear RNA (snRNA) component of the spliceosome (involved in pre-mRNA splicing). Complementary binding between U2 snRNA (in an area lying towards the 5' end but 3' to hairpin I) and the branchpoint sequence (BPS) of the intron results the bulging out of an unpaired adenosine, on the BPS, which initiates a nucleophilic attack at the intronic 5' splice site, thus starting the first of two transesterification reactions that mediate splicing.
Source: Rfam by way of RNAcentral
AUGGCUUCUCAGCCUUUUGGCUAAGAUCAAGUGUAGUAUCUGUUCUUAUCAGUUUAAUAACUGACUAAUUGAUUAUUAGGACAUGGAAAUUGAAUUAUGGGCUUGCUCUUGUCCACUCUUCACAUCGACCUGGUAUUGGAACGAUGCACCCGUC